GGACUACCCGGGUUUCUAAUCCCGUUCGCUCCCCUGGCUUUCGCGUCUCAGCGUCAGAUGGCGUCCAGGACCGCGCUUUCGCCACGGGCGUUCCUUCCGAUCUCAACGCAUUUCACCGCUCCACCGGAAGUUCCCGAUCCCCCUACGCCCCUCCAGGCCGGUCGUAUCGGCGCCCCUUCCCCGGUUGAGCCGGGGGAUUUCAGCGACCGACGUGCCGGCCCGCCUACACGCGCUUUAAGCCCAGUGAUUCCGAAUAACGUUCGCACGGUUCGUCUUACCGCGGCUGCUGGCAC
This 293-nucleotide ribosomal RNA is filed under the name uncultured bacterium. RNAcentral describes it as "partial 16S ribosomal RNA". RNAcentral also lists the same sequence under 2 other names. The record is from RNAcentral.